UUCUUAUCAAGAGCAGGCGGAGGGACCAGCCCUAUGAAGCCCGGCAACCGACUUUUAAAAAAGCACGGUGCUAAUUCUUGCAGCAUUAUUUUUGCUGAGAGAUAAGAC
Molecule: non-coding RNA, 108 nt
Filed under: [Bacillus] enclensis
Lineage: Bacteria; Bacillati; Bacillota; Bacilli; Caryophanales; Bacillaceae
Description: Bacillus enclensis SAM-I sequence
Rfam family: SAM riboswitch aptamer (S box leader)
About the family: The SAM riboswitch is found upstream of a number of genes which code for proteins involved in methionine or cysteine biosynthesis in Gram-positive bacteria.
Source: RNAcentral